RNAcentral lists this ribosomal RNA (818 nucleotides) under Halomonas sp. Its description in RNAcentral is "bacterial SSU rRNA". It matches the Rfam family "Bacterial small subunit ribosomal RNA", at positions 114 to 934 of the family's 1533-position model. Lineage: Bacteria; Pseudomonadati; Pseudomonadota; Gammaproteobacteria; Oceanospirillales; Halomonadaceae. The record is from RNAcentral.
UGCAUAUGAAUCUGCCCGAUAAUGGUUGAUAACCUGGGGAAACGCAGGCUAAUACCGCAUACGUCCUACGGGAGAAAGGGGGCUUCGGGUCCCGUUUUUGGAUGAGCCUAUGUCGGAUUAGCUAGUUGGNGAGGUAAAGGCUCACCAAGGCUGCGAUCCGUAGGUGGUCUGAGAGGAUGAUCAGCCACAUCGGUACUGAGACACGGCCCGAACUCCUACGGGAGGCAGCAGUGGGGAAUAUUGGACAAUGGGGGCAACCCUGAUCCAGCCAUGCCGCNUGUGUGAAGAAGGCCCUCGGGUUGUAAAGCACUUUCAGCGAGGAAGAACGCCUAGUGGUUAAUACCCAUUAGGAAAGACAUCACUCGCAGAAGAAGCACCGGCUAACUCCGUGCCAGCAGCCGCGGUAAUACGGAGGGUGCAAGCGUUAAUCGGAAUUACUGGGCGUAAAGCGCGCGUAGGUGGCUUGAUAAGCCGGUUGUGAAAGCCCCGGGCUCAACCUGGGAACGGCAUCCGGAACUGUCAGGCUAGAGUGCAGGAGAGGAAGGUAGAAUUCCCGGUGUAGCGGUGAAAUGCGUAGAGAUCGGGAGGAAUACCAGUGGCGAAGGCGGCCUUCUGGACUGACACUGACACUGAGGUGCGAAAGCGUGGGUAGCAAACAGGAUUAGAUACCCUGGUAGUCCACGCCGUAAACGAUGUCGACCAGCCGUUGGGUGCCUAGCGCACUUUGUGGCGAAGUUAACGCGAUAAGUCGACCGCCUGGGGAGUACGGCCGCAAGGUUAAAACUCAAAUGAAUUGACGGGGGCCCGCACAAGCGGGG